This 516-nucleotide ribosomal RNA is filed under the name uncultured bacterium. RNAcentral describes it as "partial 16S ribosomal RNA". The record is from RNAcentral.
GGAGUUAGCCGGUGCUUCUUCUGUGAGUGAUGUCCUUCCUGCCGGCUAUUAACCCGCAGGCCUUCUUCCUCACUGAAAGUGCUUUACAACCCGAAGGCCUUCUUCACACACGCGGCAUGGCUGGAUCAGGGUUGCCCCCAUUGUCCAAUAUUCCCCACUGCUGCCUCCCGUAGGAGUCUGGGCCGUGUCUCAGUCCCAGUGUGGCUGAUCAUCCUCUCAGACCAGCUACGGAUCGUCGCCUUGGUGAGCCGUUACCUCACCAACCAGCUAAUCCGACAUAGGCUCAUCCGAUAGCGCGAGGCCCGAAGGUCCCCCGCUUUCCCCCGUAGGGCGUAUGCGGUAUUAGCCUGGGUUUCCCCAGGUUAUCCCCCACUACCGGGCAGAUUCCUAUGCAUUACUCACCCGUCCGCCGCUCGCCACCAGGGAGCAAGCUCCCCGUGCUGCCGCUCGACUUGCAUGUGUUAGGUCGUCGCCGCCACGCGUUCACUACUGAACCAACGAAUACAAACUUACUGA